ACGAGUAAAAAAUUGAAAAGGGUUGUAGCUGGCCACAAACCAAACCAAAAACAAUAAAUAAACCCAAGGCAUGUGCACACCCUGCUCAAUCCACUCUCAUACCCCUGUGCACUUAUUGUAGGCUCGGUGGCAUGGCGCUCACGCGUCAGUAAGCCUCGCCUACGUUUAUAUUACAAACUCAGUCAAAGAAUGUAACCUCGCGUUUGACGCAAUAAAUA
Molecule: unclassified non-coding RNA, 218 nt
Filed under: soil metagenome
Description: partial internal transcribed spacer 1
Source: RNAcentral